AAUCUCAGAUCGGGGAGGUAGUGACGAAAAAUAACAAUACGGGACUUCUAAGAGGCCUCGUAAUUGGAAUGAGUACAAUAUAAAUCCUUUAGCGAGGAUUUUUUGGAGGGCAAGUUUGGUGCCAGCAGCUGCGGUAAUUCCNGCUCCAAUAGCGUAUAUUAAAGUUGCUGCGGUUAAAAAGCUCGUAGUUGAACUUAAGUUCAUGAAGGGCGGUCCCUUUAUGGUGUUUCUGCUCUCUCACUGAACAUUCAGUCGAUUAGUCCGGAGAUCCUCUUCACCGAGUGUCUCUGGCGAUCGGCAACUUUACCUUGAAAAAAUUAGAGUGCUUAAAGCAGGNUACUGGCCNGAAUAUUCUUGCAUGGAAUAAUGGAAUAGGACCUAGGUUCUAUUCUGUUGGUCUUUUGAACCCCUGGUAAUGAUUAACAGGGACAGACGGUGGUAUUCGUAUGCGCGC
RNAcentral lists this ribosomal RNA (454 nucleotides) under Neochelacheles sp. NS-2016. RNAcentral describes it as "bacterial SSU rRNA". It matches the Rfam family "Eukaryotic small subunit ribosomal RNA", at positions 447 to 903 of the family's 1831-position model. Lineage: Eukaryota; Metazoa; Arthropoda; Arachnida; Trombidiformes; Cheyletidae. The record is from RNAcentral.